CCUACGGGAGGCAGCAGUGAGGAAUAUUGGUCAAUGGCCGGAAGGCUGAACCAGCCAAGCCGCGUGAAGGACGAGGGUGCCACGCAUUGUAAACUUCUUUUGUCAAGGGACAAAAUCAGGCUCGAGAGCCUGACCGAGGGUACUUGAAGAAAAAGCAUCGGCUAACUCCGUGCCAGCAGCCGCGGUAAUCCGGAGGAUGCGAGCGUUAUCCGGAUUUAUUGGGUUUAAAGGGUGCGUAGGCGGGCUGUUAAGUCAGCGGUAAAAGCCCGGGGCUCAACCCCGGCGAGCCGUUGAACCUGGCUGUCUGGAGAGGGCGAGAGGUAUGCGGAAUGCGCAGUGUAGCGGUGAAAUGCUUAGAUAUUGCGCAGAACUCCGAUUGCGAAGGCAGCAUACCGGCGGCGAUCUGACGCUGAGGCACGAAAGCGUGGGUAUCGAACAGGAUUAGAUACCCGUGUAGUC
RNAcentral lists this ribosomal RNA (459 nucleotides) under uncultured bacterium. RNAcentral describes it as "partial 16S ribosomal RNA". It matches the Rfam family "Bacterial small subunit ribosomal RNA", at positions 338 to 795 of the family's 1533-position model. The record is from RNAcentral.